GACGAACGCUGGCGGCGUGCCUAAUACAUGCAAGUUGAGCGCUGAAGGUUGGUACUUGUACCGACUGGAUGAGCAGCGAACGGGUGAGUAACGCGUGGGGAAUCUGCCUUUGAGCGGGGGACAACAUUUGGAAACGAAUGCUAAUACCGCAUAAAAACUUUAAACACAAGUUUUAAGUUUGAAAGAUGCAAUUGCAUCACUCAAAGAUGAUCCCGCGUUGUAUUAGCUAGUUGGUGAGGUAAAGGCUCACCAAGGCGAUGUUACAUAGCCGACCUGAGAGGGUGGUCGGCCACCUUGGGACUGAGACAGGGCCCAAACUCCUACGGGAGGCAGCAGUAGGGAAUCUUCGGCCAUGGACGAAAGUCUGACCGAGCAACGCCGCGUGAGUGAAGAGGGUUUUCGGAUCGUAAAACUCUGUUGGUAGGGAAGAACGUUGGUGAGAGUGGAAAGCUCAUCAAGUGACGGUAACUACCCAGAAAGGGACGGCUAACUACGUG
RNAcentral lists this ribosomal RNA (497 nucleotides) under uncultured bacterium. Its description in RNAcentral is "partial 16S ribosomal RNA". It matches the Rfam family "Bacterial small subunit ribosomal RNA", at positions 28 to 507 of the family's 1533-position model. The record is from RNAcentral.